This is a non-coding RNA of Oryctolagus cuniculus (rabbit), 329 nucleotides long. Lineage: Eukaryota; Metazoa; Chordata; Mammalia; Lagomorpha; Leporidae. The record is from RefSeq and is a predicted model, not a curated record.
UGGGAGUCACUGUACACUUGCUCCCCAUACUAAAUAUAGAAAGGCUUUUUGCUUCCAGAGAUUGGACUCCAACUCUGUGAAGACACUUGGGGAUACUGCAGAACAUGUCCUACGCCCUACUUCCUGCUUCUUUCAUAUCUCAAAGAUAGAAGACUGAUUACAGUGCCUGGAAAUCCCUCAGAUUAUUAAUACUAAUGCUUACAAGAACCUGAAUUUUUCUUUAUUUUGAAAACAUUUGCUGCAUGCAUCCUGUGUACCGGCAAGUGCUAAAUGCUUUAUGUUCAUUUAUCUAAGUAAAUAAAUGAGUGCUCUGGGAGAAAACACAUUAA